GUCCCCGUAGCUCAGCAGGAUAGAGCAGUCGCCUCCUAAGCGACAGGUCGGACGUUCAAAUCGUCUCGGGGACGCCA
This 77-nucleotide transfer RNA is filed under the name Gammaproteobacteria bacterium. RNAcentral describes it as "tRNA-Arg". It matches the Rfam family "tRNA". Rfam says of the family: Transfer RNA (tRNA) molecules are approximately 80 nucleotides in length. Their secondary structure includes four short double-helical elements and three loops (D, anti-codon, and T loops). Further hydrogen bonds mediate the characteristic L-shaped molecular structure. tRNAs have two regions of fundamental functional importance: the anti-codon, which is responsible for specific mRNA codon recognition, and the 3' end, to which the tRNAs corresponding amino acid is attached (by aminoacyl-tRNA synthetases). tRNAs cope with the degeneracy of the genetic code in two manners: having more than one tRNA (with a specific anti-codon) for a particular amino acid; and 'wobble' base-pairing, i.e. permitting non-standard base-pairing at the 3rd anti-codon position. The record is from RNAcentral. Lineage: Bacteria; Pseudomonadati; Pseudomonadota; Gammaproteobacteria.